UACGAAGGGGGCUAGCGUUGUUCGGAAUCACUGGGCGUAAAGCGCACGCAGGCGGAUCGUUAAGUCAGGGGUGAAAUCCCGAGGCUCAACCUCGGAACUGCCUUUGAUACCGGCGAUCUUUGAGUCCGGGAGAGGUGAGUGGAACUCCGAGUGUAGAGGUGAAAUUCGUAGAUAUUCGGAAGAACACCAGUGGCGAAGGCGGCUCACUGGCCCGGUACUGACGCUCAGGUGCGAAAGCGUGGGGAGCAAACAGG
RNAcentral lists this ribosomal RNA (254 nucleotides) under uncultured bacterium. RNAcentral's name for it is "partial 16S ribosomal RNA". It matches the Rfam family "Bacterial small subunit ribosomal RNA", at positions 524 to 776 of the family's 1533-position model. The record is from RNAcentral.